UCAAUGUCCGCCAUCAUCCUCAAC
This 24-nucleotide non-coding RNA is filed under the name Arabidopsis thaliana (thale cress). Lineage: Eukaryota; Viridiplantae; Streptophyta; Magnoliopsida; Brassicales; Brassicaceae. The record is from RNAcentral.